UCCUUCAGUAGAUACAAAAAUAAUUAGCAUCCCUCAGUAGAUUCUACCUAAAAAUUUCAACACCCAUCAAUAAGUGUUUAUACUCCCCUUACUUGAUAUUCUUUUCUUUUUCAUCUUCCUGCUGAAUUUCUUCAGAAAAUUAGAACACCAAUCAUCUGUUUCCAUGUUUCAAUCAUAGGAACUUUGAUCUCCAAUUUCUUGAAGAUCUCCGUAAAGCACAUAAAUUUCUUUUCUUUCCUAUGAUAUUUCUUUUUAUGAGGAAGGGGUUUUUCACAUGAUCUUUUCUUUCCUCUUUUUCUCACUUCUCUUUUCUCUCAAUUUUCUCUUUUUCUUUUCUCUUAUUUUUUUCUUUAUUUUAACACAUUUUCUCUUUUUUUUCUCUUUUUUCUCAACCACUGCUUUUUCUUUCUCCUCAUCUUUCUCUCCCUCACUCAACUCUUCUGUUUCUUCUUCCUUUACAUCUCUCUCUAUCUUUUCCUCCUCAACAACCUUAUCAUUUUCAAAGAUAGUGGCUUGAUAUUCUUCUGUAGGGUUAACUUCAAUGUUAACCCCAAAUUGAUUUUUUUCUGUGACCUCCACCCUUUUAGAUAGCUGACCAAUUUGUGUCUCCAAAUUCCUGAAGCUAACGUCAUAGCUCUUGGAAUCGUACUUCUUCAAAAAUUUGUCGAACUUUUCAUUAAAACUAUUGACUUUUUCUGUUAAAUUAGCUACUUGAUGACAUAGUUGUUGCUUG
Molecule: long non-coding RNA, 733 nt
Filed under: Vigna radiata
Lineage: Eukaryota; Viridiplantae; Streptophyta; Magnoliopsida; Fabales; Fabaceae
Description: long non-coding RNA (VRAD_LNC004921)
Source: RNAcentral